AUGAUGGGGGCGGCGGACAAGGCCGAACUAGGGUUCGAGGAGGAGGAUGAUAUGGCGGCCGACACGCCGCCGCCGGCCAGGAAGAUGCAGUCGCUCGAUUUCGAGCACAUCGGCUCGCUCGCGGCGGUGGCGGAGUCGCUCUCGCCCCGGAGCAAGUGGCGGAUGGCGCUCAGGAGCAUACGCAUCGUCAUCUUCCAGGCCAAGAUCAAUGUGCUCCUGCCCUUCGGGCCCCUCGCCAUCACGCUUCACUACCUCUCCGGGAACCACCAAGGAUGGGUUUUCCUUUUCAGCUUAGUUGGUAUCACACCCUUGGCCGAGAGAUUGGGAUAUGCAACUGAGCAACUUGCUUGCUACACUGGCCCAACAAUUGGGGGGCUUCUAAAUGCUACUUUUGGAAAUGCGACAGAGAUGAUUAUCUCGAUAUAUGCUCUGAAAAACGGAAUGAUUCGUGUCGUACAGCAGUCACUACUAGGCUCUAUAUUAUCAAACAUGCUGUUAGUUCUUGGGUGUGCUUUCUUUGCUGGUGGGCUUGCUCAUCCUAAUAGAGAUCAGGUCUUCAAUAAGGCAUCAGCUGUUGUGAACUCUGGGUUGUUGUUGAUGGCUGUCUUGGGUCUAAUGUUUCCAGCGGUGCUUCACUUUACACAUUCUGAAGCGCACUAUGGAAAAUCCGAAGUUUCUCUUUCAAGGUUUAGUAGCUGCAUAAUGCUUGUGGCUUAUGCUAGCUAUCUUUUUUUUCAACUCAAGAGCCAGCGCAGUCUGUACAGCCCAAUUGGCGAAGAAGAAGAAAGCACUGAGGAUGAGGAGGAUGAAAAGGAGAUAGCACAGGGGGAAGCUAUCUCCUGGCUUUUUGUAUUGACUAUUUGGAUUUCAAUUCUCUCUGGGUACCUGGUAGAUGCCAUACAGGGGGCCUCUGAAUCAUUAAAAAUGCCACUGGCCUUUAUUAGUGUUAUUCUGCUUCCUAUCGUGGGGAAUGCUGCUGAGCAUGCAAGCGCCAUUAUGUUUGCCAUGAAAAACAAACUUGACAUUACAUUGGGUGUCGCCAUAGGGUCGUCAACACAGAUAUCUAUGUUUGUGAUUCCAUUCUGUGUGGUAAUUGGCUGGAUGAUGGGGGAAGAGAUGGACUUGAACUUUCAAUUGUUUGAGACAGCAACUCUUUUUAUAACAGUACUUGUGGUGGCAUUUAUGCUACAGGAAGGCACGUCGAACUAUUUUAAAGGCUUUAUGCUCAUAUUAUGCUAUCUCAUAGUUGCCGCAAGCUUUUUUGUGCACGUUGAUCCCAAAUCAAGUGACAACAAAUGA
This 1299-nucleotide ribosomal RNA is filed under the name Triticum aestivum (bread wheat). Its description in RNAcentral is "partial small subunit ribosomal RNA". The record is from RNAcentral. Lineage: Eukaryota; Viridiplantae; Streptophyta; Magnoliopsida; Poales; Poaceae.